GAUGAACGCUGGCGGCGUGCUUAGCACAUGCAAGUCGAACGGAAAGGCCCAAGCUUGCUUGGGUACUCGAGUGGCGAACGGGUGAGUAACACGUGGGUGAUCUGCCCUGCACUUCGGGAUAAGCCUGGGAAACUGGGUCUAAUACCGGAUAGGACGAUGGUUUGGAUGCCAUUGUGGAAAGUUUUUUCGGUGUGGGAUGAGCUCGCGGCCUAUCAGCUUGUUGGUGGGGUAAUGGCCUACCAAGGCGUCGACGGGUAGCCGGCCUGAGAGGGUGUGCGGCCACAUUGGGACUGAGAUACGGCCCAGACUCCUACGGGAGGCAGCAGUGGGGAAUAUUGCACAAUGGGCGCAAGCCUGAUGCAGCGACGCCGCGUGGGGGAUGACGGCCUUCGGGUUGUAAACUCCUUUCGCUAGGGACGAAGCGUUUUUGUGACGGUACCUGGAGAAGAAGCACCGGCUAACUACGUG
RNAcentral lists this ribosomal RNA (468 nucleotides) under uncultured bacterium. RNAcentral's name for it is "partial 16S ribosomal RNA". It matches the Rfam family "Bacterial small subunit ribosomal RNA", at positions 28 to 507 of the family's 1533-position model. The record is from RNAcentral.